AGAGAUGCACUGGGUUUAAAGCGUGCGCAGGCGGUCUUGUAAGACAGAGGUGAAAUCCCCGGGCUCAACCUGGGAACUGCCUUUGUGACUGCAAGGCUGGAGUACGGCAGAGGGGGAUGGAAUUCCGCGUGUAGCAGUGAAAUGCGUAGAUAUGCGGAGGAACACCGAUGGCGAAGGCAAUCCCCUGGGCCUGUACUGACGCUCAUGCACGAAAGCGUGGGGAGCAAACA
This 230-nucleotide ribosomal RNA is filed under the name uncultured Alicycliphilus sp. RNAcentral's name for it is "partial 16S ribosomal RNA". It matches the Rfam family "Bacterial small subunit ribosomal RNA", at positions 548 to 774 of the family's 1533-position model. Lineage: Bacteria; Pseudomonadati; Pseudomonadota; Betaproteobacteria; Burkholderiales; Comamonadaceae. The record is from RNAcentral.